Long non-coding RNA from Strigops habroptila (Kakapo), 1290 nucleotides. RefSeq lists it as uncharacterized. Lineage: Eukaryota; Metazoa; Chordata; Aves; Psittaciformes; Psittacidae. The transcript has 2 exons. The record is from RefSeq and is a predicted model, not a curated record.
GAUUGUCUAAUGCAACUUGGCUGACAAAGAAGAACUAGUGCCGUGUGACCAGCUCUCUACAGACAUUGGGAAAUGUGGUGCAAACUACAUUCUGAGAACAUCAAAUCUGAUUUUGAGGCCAUGUGUGAAGCUGGAAAUUUCCAAGCGAUGCAAAUUAUUGCCAGAGAAUUUUCCUCGCAUCUGAAGUGUUGACACUCGAGGGAGUGGGUUUCAGUUCACAAAACCAGUCAUUCAAAAAUCCUGCAUAAAACAUCCUCUGUGCUACUGUUUGCUGGUGGAAUUCCUCUCUGGAGCAUCUGAUGGGGUUUGUUCUCAGCCAGCAUAUUGAGUAACUCUUGCCUCUACGAGUGAGUGCAUCAAGCACUGAGUAUGUUCACCAAAGCCCACACAAAUGCCUGAGACUGUUACUAUGCAGACUGAUUUCAUGAGCUUCUAAGCUUUCUUGUGAGCAUGUAUCUGGUCCACUUUUGGAGAAUCUCAGUUUGAAAAUCACCUGUUCUUCACCAUUAUGCUUCCUCUCGGCCAUGAAGUGUAGAUAUGUUGGAAAAGUGCAUAUGGCUGUUAUGAAAGGGCUGUCAACAACUCAGAAACUUCCUUCUAGAAGCUGUGAGAUAUGCUGAUCACUCCCCACCACUAUAUCAAAUGUAAAGCAGAUUUUUUAGACCAAACUGGCAUGAAUUAUGACUCUUCUCCAAAGAAUGAGAAUCUCAAUUGUCCUAACUUCCACCAUCUGCUGGCACAGCUCCAACAUUAUUCCUGGAGUACUAUAAUCUUUGAUAGAUGGAAGGUUUUAUAUGAUUGAGGAAAUUGAAUAGCAUUACGGCCAAGUGAUAUCCCAAUAUACAUGGGAUAGGAUGCAAGAUCAGGAGUUCUACGAUUCUAGUCCAAACUCUUAAAUGCAUUUUUUUAGGCUGCUUAAUCCUCACAGGGGGACUAACAGGUUUCAACAAUUUGUAAAGUACUUGUAGAUCUUCAGAAGGAAAAUGCAUAUUUCUCAGCACUUUAGGAGAUGAAGUUCUGUAGAUGGAGCUAAUUUUUCAAGCUUCUAUUCAUUUUUGAAUUUCAAAGGUCUUUUGUUUCAGUGAACCAGAAAGCACAUAUUUAGGUGAUGAUUUCAUAUCUUCCAAAUGAUAGUUUUUCAUGUAAUCAUCAUAAUAGCACUUUUCAUAGGAGACUCCCAAAGUGGUUUCCCAGACCUUUGUAAGGUCUCAUGCAAUACUUACUCAUGCUGUAAAUAUAACUACUUCUACUGCACACACCAGGGGAGAGGAUCAGACAGGUUAAAUGUCA